UCCGGUUUGUCACCGGCAGUCUCCCUAGAGUGCCCUUGCGUAGCAACUAGGGACAAGGGUUGCGCUCGUUGCGGGACUUAACCCAACAUCUCACGACACGAGCUGACGACAGCCAUGCAGCACCUGUGUUACGGCUCCCUUUCGGGCACACCCAGCUCUCGCUGGGCUUCCGUACAUGUCAAGGGUAGGUAAGGUGGGGAUGACGUAGACGUCAUAACC
This 219-nucleotide unclassified non-coding RNA is filed under the name uncultured Gammaproteobacteria bacterium. RNAcentral describes it as "contains 16S-23S intergenic spacer region". Lineage: Bacteria; Pseudomonadati; Pseudomonadota; Gammaproteobacteria. The record is from RNAcentral.